This is a non-coding RNA of Paramuricea clavata, 764 nucleotides long. NCBI's taxonomy places the organism in Eukaryota, Metazoa, Cnidaria, Anthozoa, Malacalcyonacea, Plexauridae. The record is from the annotation of a GenBank genome assembly.
GAUUCCGGUGCAGCGCUCUAACCAACUGAGCUCCAGAGUCCAGUUGUCAAGCUCCAACCACAAGUUCUUGUUUAUACUGUAUAUAGUGGGUGAUGCCAGUAUACGGUAUAGACCUUGUAUAGACCCAUUGCACAUGUCACAACGCCGGUGACGAUGCAUCUGGAGGACAAAUUAGCAAUCUAUGCAUAAUAUAACUUUUGUAAACAAAGCUAAUUUUGUAAAAGUUUAUAAUAAUUUUGUAUUAAAAUGGUUAAUUUUUGCGCUGUAUGCGGUUGUUGUACCCGAAUAGAUAUUGUUAGGGAGCAUCUGGAGGACACUUUAAGGAUUGGUGACGUCAGUGCAAAGGGUCUAUAGGUAAAUAUCGAGAUUUUGGGCAUCUCGCGCGAUAAAACUGACAGUUGAAGGGUUUUUGCAGUUGGAAAUUACAUACAACCUUCCGUUCGUAAUUUCUAUCUACAAAAAUAGUCCGGCAGAUAGAGCAAAAAUACUUACGGUUGUUUGGGACAAUUCCGUUUUGCCACAUAAUUGUAUUUUAGUAUGUGAUAAGCACGUUUUUGGAUGUUGGACACGUUGAAAUUACUUGAGUGAGCUAUCCAACAACUAUUUCUUUUGUCGCUCGAAACUUUUUUUCCGCCAUGUUUUUAUUGCAAAAUUCUCGAAAAAGAGUGAGCCCACAAUACUUUGGUCAGCACCAACCCCAGAACUUCGUUUAAGCUAAAUCAAAGAAUACUUAUUAUUCUUUAAUACUUCAAAUCAAAGAAUAC